GACGAACGCUGGCGGCGUGCUUAACACAUGCAAGUCGAACGGAAAGGCCUUUUCGGAGGUACUCGAGUGGCGAACGGGUGAGUAACACGUGGGUGAUCUGCCCUGCACUCUGGGAUAAGCCUGGGAAACUGGGUCUAAUACCGGAUAGGACCGCACUUUAGUGUGUGUGGUGGAAAGUUUUUUCGGUGUAGGAUGAGCCCGCGGCCUAUCGGCUUGUUGGUGGGGUAAUGGCCUACCAAGGCGGCGACGGGUAGCCGGACUGGGAGGUUGGUCGGCCACAUUGGGACUGAGAUACGGCCCAGACUCCGACGGGAGGCAGCAGGGGGGAAUAUUGCACAAUGGGCGCAAGCCUGAUGCAGCGACGCCGCGUGGGGGAUGACGGCCUUCGGGUUGUAAACUCCUUUCGCCAGGGACGAAGCGUUUUGUGACGGUACCUGGAGAAGAAGCACCGGCUAACUACGUG
RNAcentral lists this ribosomal RNA (463 nucleotides) under uncultured bacterium. Its description in RNAcentral is "partial 16S ribosomal RNA". It matches the Rfam family "Bacterial small subunit ribosomal RNA", at positions 28 to 507 of the family's 1533-position model. The record is from RNAcentral.